Molecule: ribosomal RNA, 397 nt
Filed under: uncultured bacterium
Lineage: Bacteria
Description: partial 16S ribosomal RNA
Rfam family: Bacterial small subunit ribosomal RNA
Source: RNAcentral
AUACGUAGGUGACAAGCGUUAUCCGGAUUUACUGGGUGUAAAGGGCGUGUAGGCGGUUUGGCAAGUCAGAAGUGAAAUUCCCGGGCUUAACUUGGGCGCUGCUUCUGAAACUGCUUAACUUGAGUGCUGGAGAGGAUAGUGGAAUUCCUAGUGUAGCGGUAAAAUGCGCAGAUAUUAGGAGGAACACCGGUGGCGAAGGCGGCUAUCUGGACAGUAACUGACGCUGAGGCGCGAAAGCACGGGGAGCAAACAGGAUUAGAUACCCUGGUAGUCCGUGCCGUAAACGAUGAAUACUAGGUGUAGGGGGUAUCGACUCCCUCUGUGCCGCAGUUAACACAUUAAGUAUUCCACCUGGGGAGUACGGCCGCAAGGUUGAAACUCAAAGGAAUUGACGGGG